AUACGUAGGUGGCAAGCGUUGUCCGGAUUUAUUGGGCGUAAAGCGAGCGCAGGCGGUUCUUUAAGUCUGAUGUGAAAGCCCCCGGCUCAACCGGGGAGGGGCAUUGGAAACUGGAGGACUUGAGUGCAGAAGAGGAGAGUGGAAUUCCAUGUGUAGCGGUGAAAUGCGUAGAUAUAUGGAGGAACACCAGUGGCGAAGGCGGCUCGCUGGUCUGUAACUGACGCUGAGGCUCGGAAGCGUGGGGAGCAAACAGGAUUAGAUACCCUGGUAGUCCACGCCGUAAACGAUGAGUGCUAAGUGUUGGAGGGUUUCCGCCCUUCAGUGCUGCAGCUAACGCAUUAAGCACUCCGCCUGGGGAGUACGGCCGCAAGGCUGAAACUCAAAGGAAUUGACGGGG
RNAcentral lists this ribosomal RNA (397 nucleotides) under uncultured bacterium. RNAcentral's name for it is "partial 16S ribosomal RNA". It matches the Rfam family "Bacterial small subunit ribosomal RNA", at positions 523 to 918 of the family's 1533-position model. The record is from RNAcentral.